UAAGGCCAGAAUUAUUUUCACAUCAUAUGACUACAAGGAAGCUAGACGUAAACUAGCUCUAGCUGUUGAUCACACUGACGUUGAUCAGACCAAUGGAGGGAACUCACCGAUUACAUUUCAAAGAAAAAGAAAAUCCAAGAACAUUCUUUUUCCUGGUGAAGACGAUGAUAAUGAGAUGGAAGAACACCUGAAAGAACCAAAGUCAAAAAAAGGAAAACAUUCCAUACCUGAUGCUCCAAAAAUUGCUAGACAGCACAACAGAUUAGAUCCAGGAAAGCCAAGCUGCCCUAAGCUCUGCCACAGUACUCCUGACCUCCCCAAUGAUGAGAUGGAAGGCAUUAAAGGAACAAAAUCAAGAAAAAGAGGUAUGCCUUACCUAAUGCUCCAGCGAUCACUAGGGAACAGAUUUCUCCUGCAGUAGACAACCUCCACCCAAGUGGCCAAGGCAGUAGUGACCUUCGUCGACACAGCCAA
Molecule: non-coding RNA, 474 nt
Organism: Paramormyrops kingsleyae
Lineage: Eukaryota; Metazoa; Chordata; Actinopteri; Osteoglossiformes; Mormyridae
Source: RefSeq, a predicted model, not a curated record